UACGGGGGGAGCAAGCGUUGUUCGGAUUUACUGGGCGUAAAGGGCGCGUAGGCGGCCACCGCAAGUCAAUUGUGAAAUAUCCGGGCUUAACUCGGAAAGGUCAACUGAUACUGCGGGGCUAGAGUGCGGAAGGGGCAACUGGAAUUCUCGGUGUAGCGGUGAAAUGCGUAGAUAUCGAGAGGAACACCUGCGGCGAAGGCGGGUUGCUGGGCCGACACUGACGCUGAGGCGCGAAAGCCAGGGGAGCGAACGGG
This 254-nucleotide ribosomal RNA is filed under the name uncultured bacterium. Its description in RNAcentral is "partial 16S ribosomal RNA". It matches the Rfam family "Bacterial small subunit ribosomal RNA", at positions 524 to 776 of the family's 1533-position model. The record is from RNAcentral.